UGCUGUAAUUAUCCCAAAACUAAGCACUAUAAGACCAGGAAAUUCAGAGUUAAGAUUAACUUUAAAAUAAAUCCAAACAUCCCAGGCAUUACAUGCAGU
Long non-coding RNA from Dermochelys coriacea (leatherback sea turtle), 99 nucleotides. RefSeq lists it as uncharacterized. The record is from RefSeq and is a predicted model, not a curated record. The transcript has 3 exons. Lineage: Eukaryota; Metazoa; Chordata; Testudines; Dermochelyidae.